GACGAACGCUGGCGGCGGGCUUAACACAUGCAAGUCGGACGGAAAGGCCCUGCUUUUGUGGGGUGCUCGAGUGGCGAACGGGUGAGUAACACGUGAGUAACCUGCCCUUGACUUUGGGAUAACUUCAGGAAACUGGGGCUAAUACCGGAUAGGAGCUCCUGCUGCAUGGUGGGGGUUGGAAAGUUUCGGCGGAUGGGGCUGGACUCGGGGCUUAUCAGCUUGUGGGGGGGGUAGUGGCUUACCAAGGCUUUGACGGGUAGCCGGCCUGAGAGGGUGACCGGCCACAUUGGGCCUGCGAGACGGCCCAGACUCGUACGGUAGGCAGUGGUGGGGAAUAUUGCACAACGGUCCGGAGUGUGAUGCAGCAACGUCGCGUGCGGGAUGCCGGCCUUCGGGUUGUAAACCGCUUUAGCCUGUGACGAAGCGUGAGUGACGGUAAUGGGUAAAGAAGCACCGGCUAACUACGUG
Molecule: ribosomal RNA, 468 nt
Filed under: uncultured bacterium
Lineage: Bacteria
Description: partial 16S ribosomal RNA
Rfam family: Bacterial small subunit ribosomal RNA
Source: RNAcentral